RNAcentral lists this ribosomal RNA (452 nucleotides) under uncultured bacterium. RNAcentral describes it as "bacterial SSU rRNA". It matches the Rfam family "Bacterial small subunit ribosomal RNA", at positions 29 to 524 of the family's 1533-position model. The record is from RNAcentral.
AGCGAACGCUGGCGGCAGGCUUAACACAUGCAAGUCGAACGGGCGUAGCAAUACGUCAGUGGCAGACGGGUGAGUAACGCGUGGGAACGUACCUUUUGGUUCGGAACAACCCAGGGAAACUUGGGCUAAUACCGGAUAAGCCCUUACGGGGAAAGAUUUAUCGCCGAAAGAUCGGCCCGCGUCUGAUUAGCUAGUUGGUGAGGUAACGGCUCACCAAGGCGACGAUCAGUAGCUGGUCUGAGAGGAUGAUCAGCCACAUUGGGACUGAGACACGGCCCAAACUCCUACGGGAGGCAGCAGUGGGGAAUAUUGGACAAUGGGCGCAAGCCUGAUCCAGCCAUGCCGCGUGAGUGAUGAAGGCCCUAGGGUUGUAAAGCUCUUUCGACGGGAACGAUAAUGACGGUACCCGGAGAAGAAGCUGCGGCUAACUACGUGCCAGCCGCCGCCGUAAU